AUGUGGUUUCCAGGGGGAAGGAGUAUCAUCAUUCCGUGUGGAACUGCUAGGCAGGGUGUUAAGGACACAGAGGGAAGACCCCAGAAGAUGCUGCUUCUCCUGCUUGGGUGUCUCCUGCCCCCCACCAAUGGGAAAAGCUGCCUCCACUGCUGGCCAGACCUGCCCGCAUUGGUAGACUAUGAUCUGCAGAUCCUUUGGGGCUCCCCAGGGCCACCUGCAGAGCUCUCCCAAAGUGUCCACUCCCUAUUCCUGAAGAGAGAUCGUGUCCUCCUAGAACCCCGAUAUCUUGAUCAGGACCAUAUGGAGGAAGCAACAGCCAAAUUAUUCAAUCAUAUAGAUGAAACCAUCAAGAAGUUUCGAGAUGAUAAACCAUCACUUCUGGAAGAGAUUCGUAUCCAGAAACAGGUGUUUACUGACAGGCUGAAUAAGAUAUCUGAAGAGCUGAAGGAGAGGGAUGGUACAUUUUCUGGCGUGAGAAGAGAAAGGAAGCAGAAAAGGUGCUGGGAAAGGAGACCCCUGCCAGAAUGUAGGUCUCCCGAGGAGGGAAAGCUGCAAGUAGCAAGCAGGAACUCAGCAGUUCAGUGUUCUGAACAGAGAUCACCCAGUCGCUGCCAGGAAGCUAUCUCAUCUCUGAGUUCCAGUAACUGUCCUUUCCCUGACCCCCUCCAAUCUGGGGUGGUAGCAGUUAUGUGGCAAAGAGACCACACUCUGUCUUGUGGCUUCCCUAUACCCAGUCCUUGCAAAUACUUUUCAUUAAAACACCUUCCUCCCAUUCUGAUGGGCUGUAGCAUCUGCUUCCUGCCUGGAAAGACACAGCUGGCACCGAGAUCCUCCCGACACUGUCAUAAAGGGGCUCAUUCCCUCUUUUCACCCUCCCUCUGCUGGCCCACCACCCUUCCUGUCCUAAAGUGCCCCUCUCCUACUGCUCUGGCCCCAGCACUGGUAUCUCCACAGGCUCAGUCUGGCCUCAUCUACUUCCAGCACCAGAGAUGAAGACAGAGAUGGCUUGGGUCCCUAUGUCCAGGUAUUGAACAGAGACAGUGAGAGGCCAGCUCAUAGCUCAGGGACUGGCAGAGGAACAGACACCAGAAAACAGACUUCAAAUCACAUUAAUGGCAGACUUUUCUCCAUCCUGGCCAAGAUGUCCACCCUAGGAACACCCAGGUCCCCGGUGAAUCUGGUACUGCUAGCAAUGACACUUCCUUGACUCUGCCUCUGGUAGUGGAGUGGAGGAGGGGAGGGAGGGCAGGGGUUUGCCUCCUCCUCCUCCUCCAUCCCUAUGUCCUUUUCCUUGUCUGAACCCAAGGCUGCCAGAUUAAAUGGAACUUCUGAGUCCUCCAGGCACAGCUCUUCCCUUUCCCCUCAACCUUGUGCCCUUCCUCACUGGUACUCCCAGACUCUUGUCCUUGGAUCAGGCUCUGCUCUGAUGGGACCUAUCCAACAGCUUUGCAGCCACUGUCAGGACCAGAGCCCUGGUCAGCAGGUCAAACCCUGGGUGCUGAAAAGAAGCAAGUCUGGGACCAGAGCUAAGGACCAGUAUCCCAGAACCUGGACUCGAGUCCUGGUUCUGAUGCUAAGGUUGUAGGCUCCCCCUUGUGAAUCUGUUCCCCCAUCUGAGCAUGCAGGGAGGAUGUCAAACUUCAACCAGGUUGGUGUGCCCUGACCCUGCAGCCCCACUAGGUUCACAUUUGCCAUCUUACAUUUGCUCAUGCUAUAGGUCAAAAUGUAAUGUUCUCAUCCCUUUCCCUCACCUCCAGUCCCUUGAAA
This 1767-nucleotide long non-coding RNA is filed under the name Vulpes vulpes (red fox). Its description in RNAcentral is "lncRNA (ENSVVUG00000010614.1)". The record is from RNAcentral. Lineage: Eukaryota; Metazoa; Chordata; Mammalia; Carnivora; Canidae.